Molecule: ribosomal RNA, 501 nt
Filed under: uncultured bacterium
Lineage: Bacteria
Description: partial 16S ribosomal RNA
Rfam family: Bacterial small subunit ribosomal RNA
Source: RNAcentral
AUUGAACGCUGGCGGCAGGCUUAACACAUGCAAGUCGAGCGGGGGAAGGUAGCUUGCUACUGGACCUAGCGGCGGACGGGUGAGUAAUGCUUAGGAAUCUGCCUAUGAGUGGGGGACAACAUCUCGAAAGGGAUGCUAAUACCGCAUACGUCCUAUGGGAGAAAGCAGGGGAUCUUCGGACCUUGCGCUAAUAGAUGAGCCUAAGUCGGAUUAGCUAGUUGGUGGGGUAAAGGCCUACCAAGGCGACGAUCUGUAGCGGGUCUGAGAGGAUGAUCCGCCACACUGGGACUGAGACACGGCCCAGACUCCUACGGGAGGCAGCAGUGGGGAAUAUUGGACAAUGGGGGGAACCCUGAUCCAGCCAUGCCGCGUGUGUGAAGAAGGCCUUAUGGUUGUAAAGCACUUUAAGCGAGGAGGAGGCUACUUUAGUUAAUACCUAGAGAUAGUGGACGUUACUCGCAGAAUAAGCACCGGCUAACUCUGUGCCAGCAGCCGCAGUAA